This 253-nucleotide ribosomal RNA is filed under the name uncultured bacterium. Its description in RNAcentral is "partial 16S ribosomal RNA". It matches the Rfam family "Bacterial small subunit ribosomal RNA", at positions 524 to 776 of the family's 1533-position model. The record is from RNAcentral.
UACGAAGGGGGCAAGCGUUGCUCGGAAUCACUGGGCGUAAAGGGCGCGUAGGCGGGCGUCUAAGUCAGGGGUGAAAUCCCGAGGCUCAACCUCGGAAUUGCCUUUGAUACUGGAUGUCUCGAGACCGGAAGAGGUGAGUGGAACUGCGAGUGUAGAGGUGAAAUUCGUAGAUAUUCGCAAGAACACCAGUGGUGAAGGCGGCUCACUGGUCCGGUUCUGACGCUGAGGCGCGAAAGCGUGGGGAGCGAACAGG